AGCAGCAUGUUCAUCCAAACAGGGGAUCAAAGAGUACAAGUCAAGUACAAUGGAAUGUGUGAUGUUUUUAAUCAAACAGUUCAACAUAAUGGUUUUAAAGGAUUGUGGAGGGGGCUUUCAGUGAAUCUUAUCAAGAUUGUACCCAGCAUAGUCCUAACAUAUCUAGUAUAUGAACAAUGCAAAAGGGUUUUCUUAUAUCAGAAUGGAUAUACAAUGUCCCCAUUUGAUGCCAUUCCCAGAGAGGAUGUUGAUCAAAGUCUGUUACCACAUGAAGUCAAAACAAAUCAAUAGUGGACUUCUCAAUAAGCAUGUAAUCCGUGACGUUUCAUGGGAAUGUCAAGCACUCUAGAUGUGAUUGACUAAUUAUUGUCUAGUCUCUGGAGGCAUACAUGUAGCAAGUAUGUCCUUUGAGAUAACAGAAAGGAAGACUUUAAAGAACCUUUUGUUGGGUCAUAUAUUUGUACUCAAAGACAUGUAGUAGCGGGUUCACUCUUUUGAGCAAUAUGUGUACUUUUUCAAGCAAAAAGAGUUAUAGAAUAUUAUUUCUAAUUCAACAAAGUUUUCUCUGCUMUCAUUGGUGUUGAGAUGGGUUCCAGUAUYAGUGCAUGGAGCCCACUUCAGCAAAUUUUAUUGUUGAAUGAUAAAAACAGAGUGUAGUUGAAUAGAGGGCAUUGUGUUUUUGAUUGUUGACCUUGGGCAUUCUUUGAAACUUUACAGUUGUMCUCAAAAUUCCAGUUUCUGUAAGCAAUAAUGGCCUCUUUUCAACUACUCUUUUGUUUAAAACAGUGAGACAUUAUUGACAAUUGUCAAUGAUACACAGGCAGGGUAAUUCAAAUACAUAUUUAUUUUAUGCCACAUCAAGAAAAUGUUAUUUACAAAUAAACAAAACAUUUACAUUUAAUUAAACUGAUGACAACGGAUGUUUUACUGUCAUCACAACUACUCUAAACAGCCAACACUUCAUGUACAGAGAAUAAUUAUUCUAAAAUAUUUCAUUGUUAAAAAGGACUUUUCAAGGAAAUAACUACAUGUGUUUAUUGUUUGCAAUUUGUUUGAUUCUUCUAUAUGCAGAAAACAAUAUACAUAAUAAUUGUGCACCAUUACAAAUCUUAACUUCAUAAUAAUUUGAAAAAUAAACGAACUAUGGCAGGAA
Exaiptasia diaphana is the source of this 1153-nucleotide long non-coding RNA. RefSeq lists it as uncharacterized. The transcript is spliced from 2 exons. The record is from RefSeq and is a predicted model, not a curated record. NCBI's taxonomy places the organism in Eukaryota, Metazoa, Cnidaria, Anthozoa, Actiniaria, Aiptasiidae.